This is a ribosomal RNA of 2895 nucleotides. It matches the Rfam family "Bacterial large subunit ribosomal RNA".
GUUAUAUGGUCAAGCGAAUAAGCGCACACGGUGGAUGCCUAGGCGGUCAGAGGCGAUGAAGGACGUGGUAGCCUGCGAAAAGUGUCGGGGAGCUGGCAACAAGCUUUGAUCCGGCAAUAUCCGAAUGGGGAAACCCACUGCUUCGGCAGUAUCCUGCAGUGAAUUCAUAGCUGCUGGAAGCGAACCCGGUGAACUGAAAUAUCUAAGUAACCGGAGGAAAAGAAAUCAACCGAGAUUCCCUAAGUAGUGACGAGCGAACGGGGAGCAGCCCUUAAGCUGGAAUGGCUUUAGAAAAACAAUCUGGAAAGAUUGGCCAUAGAAGGUGAUAGCCCUGUAUUGAAAAGGGCCACUCCAGUGAAGACGAGUAGGGCGGGGCACGUGAAACCCUGUCUGAAUAUGGGGGGACCAUCCUCCAAGGCUAAAUACUCCUGACCGACCGAUAGUGAACCAGUACCGUGAGGGAAAGGCGAAAAGAACCCCGGAGAGGGGAGUGAAAUAGAUCCUGAAACCGUGUGCGUACAAGCAGUAGGAGCUCGCAAGAGUGACUGCGUACCUUUUGUAUAAUGGGUCAGCGACUUACUGUUCGUGGCAAGCUUAACCGUAUAGGGGAGGCGAAGGGAAACCGAGUCUGAUAAGGGCGCAUAGUCGCGGGCAGUAGACCCGAAACCGGGUGAUCUAGUCAUGGCCAGGGUGAAGGUGCCGUAACAGGUACUGGAGGCCCGAACCCACGUCUGUUGCAAAAGACGGGGAUGAGCUGUGAUUAGGAGUGAAAAGCUAAUCGAACCCGGAGAUAGCUGGUUCUCCUCGAAAGCUAUUUAGGUAGCGCCUCAUAUGUAUCCUCUCGGGGGUAGAGCACUGUUAUGGCUAGGGGGUCAUCGCGACUUACCAAACCAUUGCAAACUCCGAAUACCGAGACGGACUGUAUGGGAGACACACGGCGGGUGCUAACGUCCGUCGUGAAAAGGGAAACAACCCAGACCCACAGCUAAGGUCCCAAAUUCACUGCUAAGUGGAAAACGAUGUGGAAAGGCAUAGACAGCCAGGAGGUUGGCUUAGAAGCAGCCACCCUUUAAAGAAAGCGUAAUAGCUCACUGGUCGAGUCGGUCUGCGCGGAAGAUUUAACGGGGCUAAGCAGUGAACCGAAGCUUGGGGUGCAUAAAACUUGUUUUAUGCGCGGUAGAGGAGCGUUCCGUAAGCCUGCGAAGGUGGAUUGAGAAGUCUGCUGGAGGUAUCGGAAGUGCGAAUGCUGACAUGAGUAACGAUAAUGCGGGUGAAAAGCCCGCACGCCGAAAGCCCAAGGUUUCCUUGCGCAACGUUAAUCGACGCAGGGUUAGUCGGUCCCUAAGGCGAGGGCGAAAGCCGUAGUCGAUGGGAAGCAGGUUAAUAUUCCUGCACCUCGCGUGAGUGCGAUGGAGGGACGGAGAAGGUUAGGUGUACCGGGCGUUGGUUGUCCCGGGGAAAGGCGGUAGGUUUGGAUCUUUGGCAAAUCCGGGAUCCUUUAAGACCGAGCACCGAGACGAGCCUUUAUGGCGAAGUCACUGAUACCACGCUUCCAGGAAAAGCUCCUAAGCUUCAGCUCACGAAGACCGUACCGUAAACCGACACAGGUGGGUAGGAUGAGAAUUCUCAGGCGCUUGAGAGAACUCGGGUGAAGGAACUAGGCAACAUGGCACCGUAACUUCGGGAGAAGGUGCACCCUUUUUGGUGGCUCGUGCGAGCUAUAGCUGAAGAGGGUCGCAGAAACCAGGCCGCUGCGACUGUUUAUCAAAAACACAGCACUCUGCAAACACGAAAGUGGACGUAUAGGGUGUGACGCCUGCCCGGUGCUGGAAGGUUAAUUGAUGGGGUCAGCCGCAAGGCGAAGCUCUUGAUCGAAGCCCCAGUAAACGGCGGCCGUAACUAUAACGGUCCUAAGGUAGCGAAAUUCCUUGUCGGGUAAGUUCCGACCUGCACGAAUGGCGUAACGACAGCGGCGCUGUCUCCACCCGAGACUCAGUGAAAUUGAAAUCGCUGUGAAGAUGCAGCGUUCCCGUGGCAAGACGGAAAGACCCCGUGAACCUUUACUAUAGCUUUACACUGAACGUUGAGUUCGUCUGUGUAGGAUAGGUGGGAGGCUAUGAAACUGUGGCGCUAGCUGCAGUGGAGCCAUCCUUGAAAUACCACCCUGUCGUGCUUGACGUUCUAACCUAGGUCCGUUAUCCGGAUCAGGGACCGUGUAUGGUGGGUAGUUUGACUGGGGCGGUCUCCUCCUAAAGAGUAACGGAGGAGCACGAAGGUACGCUCAGCGCGGUCGGACAUCGCGCACUGUGUGCAAAGGCAUAAGCGUGCUUGACUGCAAGAUCGACGGAUCAAGCAGGUACGAAAGUAGGUCUUAGUGAUCCGGUGGUUCUGUAUGGAAGGGCCAUCGCUCAACGGAUAAAAGGUACUCCGGGGAUAACAGGCUGAUACCGCCCAAGAGUUCAUAUCGACGGCGGUGUUUGGCACCUCGAUGUCGGCUCAUCACAUCCUGGGGCUGUAGUCGGUCCCAAGGGUAUGGCUGUUCGCCAUUUAAAGUGGUACGCGAGCUGGGUUCAGAACGUCGUGAGACAGUUCGGUCCCUAUCUGCCAUGGGCGUUGGAAGUUUGAGAGGGGCUGCUCCUAGUACGAGAGGACCGGAGUGGACGAACCUCUGGUGUUCCGGUUGUCACGCCAGUGGCAUUGCCGGGUAGCUAUGUUCGGAAGCGAUAACCGCUGAAAGCAUCUAAGCGGGAAGCGCGCCUCAAGAUGAGACUUCCCGGGGCACAAGCCCCCUAAAGGAACCAUGUAGACUACGUGGUUGAUAGGUCAGGUGUGUAAGUACAGCAAUGUAUUGAGCUAACUGAUACUAAUGAUCCGUGCGGCUUGACCAUAUAACCU